CUCCAUUUGCAUAGUAAGUCUAAUGGUUUGCUAGCCACUUGGUUCAUACCUCUCUAAUUUGGGGAAGGUACCCAACAUUCGGUUGGUAAUUUCCUUGUACCUGUUGGUUGAGGCUAAGUACAUUUUAACUUGUGUAAUGUUUGGUGAUAUUGUGUUUUUCCAUUUUUUCCCAACUGCCUUAGUAGCUGCUAUGAGAAUAUGUAGCAACAUAUCUACUUUCGGCCUCCUUAAAGAGGGAGGGAACAU
Non-coding RNA from Pelobates cultripes (western spadefoot toad), 246 nucleotides. The record is from the annotation of a GenBank genome assembly. NCBI's taxonomy places the organism in Eukaryota, Metazoa, Chordata, Amphibia, Anura, Pelobatidae.